CAGGCUUAACACAUGCAAGUCGAGGGGCAGCAUGGUCUUAGCUUGCUAAGGCCGAUGGCGACCGGCGCAUGGGUGAGUAACACGUAUCCAACCUGCCGUCUACUCUUGGACAGCCUUCUGAAAGGAAGAUUAAUGCAAGAUGGCAUCAUGAGUCCGCAUGUUCACAUGAUUAAAGGUAUUCCGGUAGACGAUGGGGAUGCGUUCCAUUAGAUAGUAGGCGGGGUAACGGCCCACCUAGUCUUCGAUGGAUAGGGGUUCUGAGAGGAAGGUCCCCCACAUUGGAACUGAGACACGGUCCAAACUCCUACGGGAGGCAGCAGUGAGGAAUAUUGGUCAAUGGGCGAGAGCCUGAACCAGCCAAGUAGCGUGAAGGAUGACUGCCCUAUGGGUUGUAAACUUCUUUUAUAAAGGAAUAAAGUCGGGUAUGGAUACCCGUUUGCAUGUACUUUAUGAAUAAGGAUCGGCUAACUCCGUGCCAGCAGCCGCGGUAAUACGGAGGAUCCGAGCGUUAUCCGGAUUUAUUGGGUUUAAAGGGAGCGUAGAUGGAUGUUUAAGUCAGUUGUGAAAGUUUGCGGCUCAACCGUAAAAUUGCAGUUGAUACUGGAUAUCUUGAGUGCAGUUGAGGCAGGCGGAAUUCGUGGUGUAGCGGUGAAAUGCUUAGAUAUCACGAAGAACUCCGAUUGCGAAGGCAGCCUGCUAAGCUGCAACUGACAUUGAGGCUCGAAAGUGUGGGUAUCAAACAGGAUUAGAUACCCUGGUAGUCCACACGGUAAACGAUGAAUACUCGCUGUUUGCGAUAUACUGCAAGCGGCCAAGCGAAAGCGUUAAGUAUUCCACCUGGGGAGUACGCCGGCAACGGUGAAACUCAAAGGAAUUGACGGGGGCCCGCACAAGCGGAGGAACAUGUGGUUUAAUUCGAUGAUACGCGAGGAGCCUUACCCGGGCUUAAAUUGCAGAUGAAUUACGGUGAAAGCCGUAAGCCGCAAGGCAUCUGUGAAGGUGCUGCAUGGUUGUCGUCAGCUCGUGCCGUGAGGUGUCGGCUUAAGUGCCAUAACGAGCGCAACCCUUGUUGUCAGUUACUAACAGGUUCCGCUGAGGACUCUGACAAGACUGCCAUCGUAAGAUGUGAGGAAGGUGGGGAUGACGUCAAAUCAGCACGGCCCUUACGUCCGGGGCUACACACGUGUUACAAUGGGGGGUACAGAGGGCCGCUACCACGCGAGUGGAUGCCAAUCCCCAAAACCUCUCUCAGUUCGGACUGGAGUCUGCAACCCGACUCCACGAAGCUGGAUUCGCUAGUAAUCGCGCAUCGGCCACGGCGCGGUGAGUACGUUCCCGGGCCUUGUACACACCGCCCGUCAAGCCAUGGGAGCCGGGGGUACCUGAAGUGCGUAACCGCGAGGAGCGCCCUAGGGUAAAACUGGUGACUGGGGCUAA
Molecule: ribosomal RNA, 1437 nt
Filed under: uncultured organism
Description: 16S ribosomal RNA
Rfam family: Bacterial small subunit ribosomal RNA
Source: RNAcentral